Pundamilia nyererei is the source of this 292-nucleotide long non-coding RNA. RefSeq lists it as uncharacterized. The record is from RefSeq and is a predicted model, not a curated record. The transcript has 3 exons. NCBI's taxonomy places the organism in Eukaryota, Metazoa, Chordata, Actinopteri, Cichliformes, Cichlidae.
UGCAGCUUUUCCAUUCAAUAACAGAGAUCAUGGCGCUCCGUCCCUCUCUCUCCUCCAAAUCCUCACUAUUAACAUUCACCCCAAUGCUGAAGCAGUCUGGGACAAAGAAAUAGCUCCACUGCUUACAGUACUAGAGGAGUCCUCUGCAGAGAGUCUGGAUAAGAAGGAGUGGGACAAGAGGUUACUGGAGCUCUUGUCUAAAACCCUGACAGCACUUGAUGAUGAUAAGUGGGUAUGUCAGUUGGCAGCUGAAUCAACCAGAUACCUCCCUACAUAUAACAACGCCUUAGAG